AGCAGCCGCGGUAAUUCCAGCUCCAAUAGCGUAUAUUAAAGUUGUUGCAGUUAAAAAGCUCGUAGUUGAAUUUCGGGGUCAGUAGGCUGGUCGUGCCACGGGUAUGCACUGGUCUCACUGAUUCCUCCUUCCUGAUGAACCGUAAUGCCAUUAAUUUGGUGUUGCGGGGAAACUGGACUGUUACUUUGAAAAAUUAGAGUGUUUAAAGCAGGCUAACGCUUGAAUACAUUAGCAUGGAAUAAUGAAAUAGGACGAUCGAUCCUAUUUUGUUGGUUUCUAGGAUUGACGUAAUGAUUAAUAGGGAUAGGUUGGGCAUUAGUAUUCAAUUGUCAGAGGUGAAA
Molecule: ribosomal RNA, 341 nt
Filed under: uncultured Glomeromycotina
Lineage: Eukaryota; Fungi; Glomeromycota
Description: SSU rRNA
Rfam family: Eukaryotic small subunit ribosomal RNA
Source: RNAcentral